CGCCGCCUCGCAACAGGUCCGGGCGGCCUCGCUCUCCGCUCCCCUCCCCCGCAUCCGCGACCCCCGAGGCGCCUCCGCUCGGCCGGGGCCGCAGUCUGGCCACCCGCUUCCAUGCGGUUCGGGUCCAAGAUGAUGCCGAUGUUUCUUACCGUGUAUCUCAGUAACAAUGAGCAGCACUUCACAGAAGUUCCAGUUACUCCAGAAACAAUAUGCAGAGACGUGGUGGAUCUGUGCAAAGAACCCGGCGAGAGUGAUUGCCAUUUGGCUGAAGUGUGGUGUGGCUCUGAACGUCCAGUUGCGGAUAAUGAGCGAAUGUUUGAUGUUCUUCAACGAUUUGGAAGUCAGAGGAACGAAGUUCGCUUCUUCCUUCGUCAUGAACGCCCCCCUGGCAGGGACAUUGGUAGGUAGUGCUCUGUGAAUUGUGACAGAUAUUUAAGCUUUUAUUUUGUGCUGGGAGUAGUAGG
Molecule: small RNA, 464 nt
Filed under: Pongo abelii (Sumatran orangutan)
Lineage: Eukaryota; Metazoa; Chordata; Mammalia; Primates; Hominidae
Description: processed transcript
Source: RNAcentral